This is a non-coding RNA of Macaca mulatta (Rhesus monkey), 665 nucleotides long. NCBI's taxonomy places the organism in Eukaryota, Metazoa, Chordata, Mammalia, Primates, Cercopithecidae. The record is from RefSeq and is a predicted model, not a curated record.
CUCCCUCCUUCACCCGGCCAAACUUCUCCUUCCAGAAACUGCCAGAGACCCAGAGGAUUUCCUACUCCUUUCCAUUGCUGGCAAACACAUCCAACACCAGGGCCACCUCAGGGGCUAACAGACCAACUCCUCAAAGCCCUGACAAGGCAAGGAGUGAAAGAUUGCUCACCCUACCGCAGCUCCUUGGCCUGGCCGCUGAAGACUGACGGAGCCCAGGGCCCCGGGCCCCAUCUGCCAUUACUGCAUCAGAGCCCAGGAUAACUCUGCUAGUAGCAGUUAUCAGCAACAGAAAAUCAAACUCCAUAAAACAAAAUAAAACAGAGCAAAUGGAAUGCUACAAGUCCCCGGAGUUGGAACAUCUGAUCAUUGGACACCAAGUGAGCCGUGAACAUGUGGCCAGGCUGGCUGACACGAGCUAUGAAUAGAUGAAAACAGCAGAAUUCAUGGACAAUGGGGAUAUAAAAGGUGGCAAUACAAAGUGGAAUAGAUAAUAAAUGAGGUGACUAGAAGAAAAUGGAGUAAAUUGAAUGUGAGUUCACAGGUAACAACACAGAAGAGAAAAGAAUGACUUAUUGGAAUCUUGCAAUUUGUCAAAGGUUAUUUAGCCUAUAAGUCAACAUUUUGUAUAAAUUUGAAAAUUAAACUAGCUCUUACCUCCUAAUGCA